Molecule: ribosomal RNA, 489 nt
Filed under: uncultured bacterium
Lineage: Bacteria
Description: partial 16S ribosomal RNA
Rfam family: Bacterial small subunit ribosomal RNA
Source: RNAcentral
AUUGAACGCUGGCGGCAGGCCUAACACAUGCAAGUCGAACGGUAACAGGAAGCAGCUUGCUGCUUCGCUGACGAGUGGCGGACGGGUGAGUAAUGUCUGGGAAACUGCCUGAUGGAGGGGGAUAACUACUGGAAACGGUAGCUAAUACCGCAUAACGUCGCAAGACCAAAGAGGGGGACCUUAGGGCCUCUUGCCAUCGGAUGUGCCCAGAUGGGAUUAGCUAGUAGGUGGGGUAACGGCUCACCUAGGCGACGAUCCCUAGCUGGUCUGAGAGGAUGACCAGCAACACUGGAACUGAGACACGGUCCAGACUCCUACGGGAGGCAGCAGUGGGAAUAUUGCACAAUGGGCGCAAGCCUGAUGCAGCCAUGCCGCGUGUAUGAAGAAGGCCUUCGGGUUGUAAAGUACUUUCAGCGGGGAGGAAGGGAGUAAAGUUAAUACCUUGGCUCAUUGACGUUACCCGCAGAAGAAGCACCGGCUAACUCCGUG